AAAGAAAAAAACAUGCAUUCCCAUUACUCGUAUCAUUCUGAAGAAAUUUUAUGAAUAAUAGCAGAUAGAAAAUGUAAGAAAAUGUAAUUAGACGAUGAGAUUCACAGCUAGAGAACUAAUUAUAUUAGUUUGUAAUAUUUUUCCAUCAUGCCAAAUAAUAUUUUUCCAUCAUGCCAAAUUCUAUGCAGAAAUGAAUCAGGG
Molecule: unclassified non-coding RNA, 201 nt
Filed under: Hevea brasiliensis (rubber tree)
Lineage: Eukaryota; Viridiplantae; Streptophyta; Magnoliopsida; Malpighiales; Euphorbiaceae
Source: RNAcentral